Molecule: ribosomal RNA, 482 nt
Filed under: uncultured bacterium
Lineage: Bacteria
Description: partial 16S ribosomal RNA
Rfam family: Bacterial small subunit ribosomal RNA
Source: RNAcentral
AUUGAACGCUGGCGGCAUGCCUUACACAUGCAAAUCGAACGGUAACGGGCCUUCGGGUGCCGACGAGUGGCGAACGGGUGAGUAAUACAUCGGAACGUGCCCGAUCGUGGGGGAUAACGAGGCGAAAGCUUUGCUAAUACCGCAUACGAUCUACGGAUGAAAGCAGGGGACCGCAAGGCCUUGCGCUGACGGAGCGGCCGAUGGCAGAUUAGGUAGUUGGUGGGAUAAAAGCUUACCAAGCCGACGAUCUGUAGCUGGUCUGAGAGGAUGAUCAGCCACACUGGGACUGAGACACGGCCCAGACUCCUACGGGAGGCAGCAGUGGGGAAUUUUGGACAAUGGGCGCAAGACUGAUCCAGCCAUGCCGCGUGCAGGAUGAAGGCCUUCGGGUUGUAAACUGAUUUUGUACGGAACGAAAAGCCUUCUUUUAAUACAGGAGGGUCAUGACGGUACCGUAAGAAUAAGCACCGGCUAACUACGUG